Long non-coding RNA from Artibeus jamaicensis (Jamaican fruit-eating bat), 944 nucleotides. RefSeq lists it as uncharacterized. Lineage: Eukaryota; Metazoa; Chordata; Mammalia; Chiroptera; Phyllostomidae. The transcript has 6 exons. The record is from RefSeq and is a predicted model, not a curated record.
CAGUCUGAGUCAUUUUCUCCUUGUUGUUUUCCAGAGCCUGCUGUUUCUUCAUACAGCUUUCAGGUGGUGAAGGUCAGAAGGCGAGCAAUACCAUCAUCUUUCUUUGGUUUAGGACUCCUCAUACGUUAAGAUUGCACCAGACCACUGGGUGUCCAUUGCUAUGGCCAGAGCAGGCCCAGCAAAACACAUCUAAAUACAGUCUGUUGCUACCAGUUUCCAACCUUCGGAUUUUGAAGGCCCUUUCUCCUUCCAGUGCCCUCUACUCUACGAGCCCAAGAAUCAUUGUCUUCACUGCACAUGAGAGGCUCACCCUCAAGACCAGAAAUGAAGUCCUGCCCCCACUUCCAGGCCAUUCAUCAAAGAUCCUAGAAUAGGAACAGAGUUCAGAAAUAUAUCUGGUUUCCUGCCUUUGGAAAGGAACGGCACUGUUCCUGGUUAAAACGGCAGCACAGGAGUUAGACUGCCUGCCUUUGACUCCAUUCCAGUCUGGCUGUGAGACAUUGGACCAUGGUUUGGCCGUGGGUAAUGGAAACCAAGGAACGUGGAAUCGUGCAUAAGGGGUAGAGUUUACACUUGCGUGCUGAAGUGACUAUGAAGCGUGUAUUAAGAUGGAGCUUCCUUGUUACUUUGAGUGACUACAAGGAGCAGAAACCCACUGCCAAGCCAUUUAGAUAUGUAAGCAUGAGUGAGAAAUAAAAUUUUGGUAGGAGCUCCUUUUUUCUUUCUGCUGCAUAGAACUCCAUUGUGUAUAUGUACCAUAAUUUUUUUCCAUUCAUUUACUCCUACCCUUUGCAACAGCUUGGAUGGAAUUGGAAAGCAUUAUGCUGAAUGAAAUUAGCCAGGCAUUGAAAGACAAAUACCAUAUGAUCUCACCUUUAACAGGAAGCUAAACAACAAAACAAAACAAGCAAGCAAAAUAAAAACAAUGGCACUGAAAUGGAGAA